AGAGUUUGAUCAUGGCUCAGAUUGAACGCUGGCGGCAGGCUUAACACAUGCAAGUCGAACGGUAACAGGGAGAAAGCUUGCUUUCCUUGCUGACGAGUGGCGGACGGGUGAGUAAUGCUUGGGAAUCUGGCUUAUGGAGGGGGAUAACUACGGGAAACUGUAGCUAAUACCGCGUAAUAUCUUCGGAUUAAAGGGUGGGACCGUAAGGCCACCUGCCAUAAGAUGAGCCCAAGUGGGAUUAGGUAGCUGGUGGGGUAAAGGCCUACCAAGCCGACGAUCUCUAGCUGGUCUGAGAGGAUGGCCAGCCACACUGGAACUGAGACACGGUCCAGACUUCUACGGGAGGCAGCAGUGGGGAAUAUUGCACAAUGGGGGGAACCCUGAUGCAGCCAUGCCGCGUGAAUGAAGAAGGCCUUCGGGUUGUAAAGUUCUUUCGGUGAUGAGGAAGGUGUUUGUUUUAAUAGAACAAGCAAUUGACGUUAGUCACAGAAGAAGCACCGGCUAACUCCGUGCCAGCAGCCGCGGUAAUACGGAGGGUGCGAGCGUUAAUCGGAAUGACUGGGCGUAAAGGGCACGCAGGCGGUGACUUAAGUGAGAUGUGAAAGCCCCGGGCUUAACCUGGGAAUUGCAUUUCAUACUGGGUCGCUAGAGUAUUUUAGGGAGGGGUAGAAUUCCACGUGUAGCGGUGAAAUGCGUAGAGAUGUGGAGGAAUACCGAAGGCGAAGGCAGCCCCUUGGGAAUAUACUGACGCUCAUGUGCGAAAGCGUGGGGAGCAAACAGGAUUAGAUACCCUGGUAGUCCACGCUGUAAACGCUGUCUGAUUUGGGGAUUGGGCUUAGAGCUUGGUGCCCGUAGCUAACGUGAUAAA
Molecule: ribosomal RNA, 868 nt
Filed under: uncultured bacterium
Lineage: Bacteria
Description: bacterial SSU rRNA
Rfam family: Bacterial small subunit ribosomal RNA
Source: RNAcentral